Non-coding RNA from Punica granatum (pomegranate), 677 nucleotides. The record is from RefSeq and is a predicted model, not a curated record. Lineage: Eukaryota; Viridiplantae; Streptophyta; Magnoliopsida; Myrtales; Lythraceae.
GCUGCAGACGGAGGAGCUUGAGCUGACUGAGGAAGAAGGAACGAAGGAAGGAGAAGAUGGUGAGAGUGGUGACCGGCUUUGGGAUGUGCGUCGGCGCCUUCCUAUUCUGGUCAACCAUGGACCGUGUCCACGUCUGGAUCGCUCUCCAUCAGGACGAGAAGCUUGAUUAGGUUUUGAAGUGGGUAGGCAUCGUUGCUGCAAUCGAGUGAAUCAGUCGGAAAUUCCGCAUGAAGUUUUGAUUUUUCACCGAGAUUGCUACUAGUGGGGAUUGAUUUUCAUUGUUGAAGACUCAUUUGAGGAAUGUAGAUGCAUCUGAAAUCAUCUAGUCGGGUUUCCGCGGUGGAUGGUUGAUUGGUUGUGUAUCCUUUUCGUUGUUGCAGAAGGAAAGGUUGGAGAAGGAAGCCGAGAUAAGAAGAGUCCGCGAACAGCUGCUGCAGGAGCAGGCCAAGCAAAAGGAAUCGCUUGCGUGAUCUCUUGUGCUUAUUUUCCGUGUCGUGGUCCUUCUUGUCGAAAUGAAACUUUGUCAAUGUAUUCAUUUCCAUAAGUUUCUCGAGACUCGAUUCUAUCAUGAAUACAUGAUUGUUCUGUGAACUACAACACAUGCCUUCUCAUUGGGAAGGCGAAGAACUUGCUCUCGUCUUUCUAUUGCUGCCUCAAUAAACUGCCCUUUCCUUCAA